UUUUCAGUGGGUUGUAGGAGAAAAUGGUGUCCUCAAGCCAAAACGAAUCAACCCGAAUAUCUACCAGCCACCAUCAUUAAAAGCCGUGCAGCAGAUGGCUGAAGCUCACAUGCAGAAAUUAGGUGUGUAUCGUCAUGUAGAGGAGGAAGGGGGGGAGGAGCUUUCCUCAUCCUGCAUACCUGAUUCACAGGAGCAAAGGGGCAUGGCAGAAUACCAGCCUGGCAUGAGAAAGGCAGGAGCCACGGCACCGACUGAUGAAGAGGAGGAGGAGGAGGAGGAGGAAGUAGAAGCGGACGAUAUGGCAGAGGAUGAGUGCAGAAAUGUGGACUGAAAGAGCAAAGUUUGAGAAACUUUAGAGAUUUUUUUCAUAAUGCAGAACCUUGUUUGGAAAUCAGAAUUAUUGUUUAUUGAUUACUGGUCAAUAAUUCCAUCAUUUGAUAAAACAGCUGUCUGUUUGUAUUCAGAGACAAAAAGAGACUCUGAAAGACUGGAAUUUUGAAGUGGUCAAACAACCUCAAACAAAUAACUCACCCCGACAUUGCCAUGAUUAUAGAAAUAUAUAAGGUAAAAUCCAUCAGCAGUCAUAUAAUACCAUCCUUGCGUUCACAAACAGGUAAAGUACAACUGUUUAGUUCUAUGAGCAGCACGGUACGAAUGUGAAGUGUUGAGAAAUGUGUCAAGUGUUCAUGUCAUGUUUUAUGUGUGUUUUGAGUCGCAGUAUGUUUUGUGAUCGGUGGAUUUCUGUGGGCCUACACUGCCAUCUGGAGUACAGAGAAUUGUUAUACUGAAUUCCAUGAAAUAAUUUGCCAAGAACAAUAAUCCCAGAGCACAUGGAAAGUAUUUCACAGCAUUAUUGUUUAGCGUUAUGUUCAACCACUGCCAACAUCCUUGUAGUUGGACUGCACUUCAAACUAUAGU
Molecule: long non-coding RNA, 918 nt
Organism: Sinocyclocheilus grahami
Lineage: Eukaryota; Metazoa; Chordata; Actinopteri; Cypriniformes; Cyprinidae
Exons: 3
Source: RefSeq, a predicted model, not a curated record